AGCAGCCGCGGUAAUUCCAGCUCCAAUAGCGUAUAUUAAAGUUGUUGCAGUUAAAAAGCUCGUAGUUGAAUUUCGGGAUCAGUACGCUGGUCGUGCCUCCGGUAUGUACUGGUGUCACUGAUUCCUCCCUUCUGAAGACCAUCAUGCCAUUAAUUUGGUGUGGUGGGAAUCAGGACUGUUACUUUGAAAAAUUGAGUGUUUAAAGCAGGCUCGCGCUUGAAUACAUUAGCAUGGAAUAAUGAAAUAGGACGUUUAUCCUAUUUUGUUGGUUUCUAGGAUUGACGUUAAUGAUUAAUAGGGAUAGUUGGGGGCAUUAGUAUUCAAUUGUCAGAGGUGAAAUUCUUGGAUUUAUUGAAGCUAACUACUGCGAAAGCAUUUGCCAAGGAUUGUUUCAUUAAUCAAAGAACGAAGUUAGGGAUCGAAGACGAUCAGAUACCGUCGUAGUCUUAACCAUAAACCUAUGCCGACUAGGGAUCGGAUGAUGUUAAUUUUUAUGACUUCAUUCGGUACCG
RNAcentral lists this ribosomal RNA (512 nucleotides) under uncultured Glomus. Its description in RNAcentral is "SSU rRNA". It matches the Rfam family "Eukaryotic small subunit ribosomal RNA", at positions 569 to 1088 of the family's 1831-position model. The record is from RNAcentral. Lineage: Eukaryota; Fungi; Glomeromycota; Glomeromycetes; Glomerales; Glomeraceae.